RNAcentral lists this ribosomal RNA (404 nucleotides) under Verrucomicrobiota bacterium. Its description in RNAcentral is "Verrucomicrobia bacterium partial 16S ribosomal RNA". It matches the Rfam family "Bacterial small subunit ribosomal RNA", at positions 355 to 776 of the family's 1533-position model. The record is from RNAcentral. Lineage: Bacteria; Pseudomonadati; Verrucomicrobiota.
UGGGGAAUAUUGCACAAUGGAGGGAACUCUGAUGCAGCGACGCCGCGUGAGUGAAGAAGUAUUUCGGUAUGUAAAGCUCUAUCAGUAGGGAAGAUAAUGACGGUACCUACAUAAGAAGCCCCGGCUAAAUACGUGCCAGCAGCCGCGGUAAUACGUAGGUGGCAAGCGUUGUCCGGAAUUAUUGGGCGUAAAGCGCGCGCAGGUGGUUUAGAAAGUCUGAUGUGAAAGCCCACGGCUCAACCGUGGAGGGUCAUUGGAAACUAAUAAACUUGAGUGCAGGAGAGAAAAGUGGAAUUCCAUGUGUAGCGGUGAAAUGCGUAGAGAUUAGGAGGAACACCGGUGGCGAAAGCGGCUUUUUGGCCUGCAACUGACACUGAGGCGCGAAAGCGUGGGGAGCAAACAGG